CCAGGAGAGGUAUACAGUGUUGAAAUUGGGAGCUGCAAGCGUAAAAAGUCGUUGGAGGCCUGGAAUGCCUUCCCAGCAUGCCUUGUGCUGCUAGCACACAGGAAAGCCUCAUAAUGUCAGCAGCUGCCAUCUGAUUGGUCAUGAUGGAACAGGAGGUGGAUCGAGCUCUGCUGAAGCAAAUCCAGCUUCAGGAUCAUAGAGUGUGCUUUGCAGAGUGGCACAUCUAUGGAUGUUAGCCCUUGUAGCCACAACUCUCUAUUGUUUCUGUGUGAGGGAAGGCCUUCUGGAUCCUGGUGGCUGGGUAGAAGAGGAUGCCCCUGAUUCCUGCCAGAAGAAAAGCAGAAACCAUGAAUGUAGCUGUUAAUGAAGGUCUAUAAGGGAAACAAAAGAAUAUACCCAAGGAUUUGUACAACUCCUGAAUGAAUGAAAAAUGUUGGUCCAGCACUACAAUAACUAAACAAGAAGGAGCGUGAAGUUUAACAUUUAGCAGCAGCUGUGUGAAUACUGAGUAUAUUUAAGGCUCUGAACUGCAUACUAAGGCAUGGUUUCAAAUUGGGUUUAAAGCUUCUGAUUUAUGCUCCUAAUAAGCCAAUCUAACAUUUCUUUUCUUAAUUUUUGAUAAAUGAAGUGUGUUGGGCAGGAUGCUAUCCUUCAAUUUAUUUUUGUUUUAGAACUUGUUAAUAACAAAUCUGACUGUGCUCCACAUGUAAAAGAGCUGUGCAGGGCAUUGGGAGCAAGAGUUCUCUUAAUGAGAUGGGAGUGCAAUCUGUUUAAAAGACAAAUCUCUCCCCUUCUUCUUUCCAGACAGGACACUUAAUUUAAAUUGCUGAAUCAAAACUAAAUGCUGUUUUCCCUAGCUUUGAAUUCAUUUCAUUCUAUCAUUUUGAAAUGGUUUGGAAUACAAAUUGCAUGCAUU
Long non-coding RNA from Hemicordylus capensis (graceful crag lizard), 916 nucleotides. RefSeq lists it as uncharacterized. The record is from RefSeq and is a predicted model, not a curated record. The transcript has 2 exons. NCBI's taxonomy places the organism in Eukaryota, Metazoa, Chordata, Lepidosauria, Squamata, Cordylidae.